AUUAAAAUUAUUUUAGUACGAAAGGAUUAAAUAAUUAAAUUAAAUUUUUAUUAUUGAAUUAAAUUAAAUAA
This 71-nucleotide ribosomal RNA is filed under the name Adelges nr. japonicus NPH-2018. RNAcentral describes it as "partial large subunit ribosomal RNA". The record is from RNAcentral. Lineage: Eukaryota; Metazoa; Arthropoda; Insecta; Hemiptera; Adelgidae.